This 176-nucleotide unclassified non-coding RNA is filed under the name uncultured Bandoniozyma. Its description in RNAcentral is "sequence contains ITS2". Lineage: Eukaryota; Fungi; Basidiomycota; Tremellomycetes; Tremellales; Tremellaceae. The record is from RNAcentral.
AAUCUCAACCCCUCCAGGUUUCUGAUCUGGGCGCGGCUUGGACUUGGACGUGUGCCAGCAAUGGCUCGUCUCAAAAGGAUUAGUGGGGAUCUCGGCAUCCACGGCAGACGUAAUAAGUUUCGUCUAGCCUCUUGUCGUAGGCCCGCUCACAACCCGCCAUCGUGCACCUUUUGACU